This 120-nucleotide ribosomal RNA is filed under the name Lepisosteus oculatus (spotted gar). Lineage: Eukaryota; Metazoa; Chordata; Actinopteri; Semionotiformes; Lepisosteidae. The record is from RNAcentral.
GCCAGCAGCCAUAUCACCCUGCAACUCACAACUGGCAACCCACUGAAGCUAGGCAGGUGUGAAGCCUGAUCAGUACCUGGAUGGGAGACCUCCUGGGAAAAACUGAAGUAGCUGCUGGAA